Molecule: ribosomal RNA, 449 nt
Filed under: uncultured bacterium
Lineage: Bacteria
Description: partial 16S ribosomal RNA
Rfam family: Bacterial small subunit ribosomal RNA
Source: RNAcentral
AACGAACGCUGGCGGCAUGCCUAACACAUGCAAGUCGAACGAGAUCUUCGGGUCUAGUGGCGCACGGGUGCGUAACGCGUGGGAAUCUGCCCUUUGGUUCGGAAUAACAGUUGGAAACGACUGCUAAUACCGGAUGAUGACGAAAGUCCAAAGAUUUAUCGCCAGAGGAUGAGCCCGCGUAGGAUCAGCUAGUUGGUGUGGUAAAGGCGCACCAAGGCGACGAUCCUUAGCUGGUCUGAGAGGAUGAUCAGCCACACUGGGACUGGGACACGGCCCAGACUCCUACGGGAGGCAGCAGUGGGGAAUAUUGGACAAUGGGCGAAAGCCUGAUCCAGCAAUGCCGCGUGAGUGAUGAAGGCCUUAGGGUUGUAAAGCUCUUUUACCCGGGAUGAUAAUGACAGUACCGGGAGAAUAAGCUCCGGCUAACUCCUUGCCAGCCGCCGCCGUAA